This 758-nucleotide long non-coding RNA is filed under the name Homo sapiens (human). Its description in RNAcentral is "non-protein coding lnc-TIMM8B-2:1". The record is from RNAcentral. Lineage: Eukaryota; Metazoa; Chordata; Mammalia; Primates; Hominidae.
GCCCUUUGCUCCCCUGGCGACUGCCUGGACAGUCAGCAAGGAAUUGUCUCCCAGUGCAUUUUGCCCUCCUGGCUGCCAACUCUGGCUGCUAAAGCGGCUGCCACCUGCUGCAGUCUACACAGCUUCGGGAAGAGGAAAGGAACCUCAGACCUUCCAGAUCGCUUCCUCUCGCAACAAACUAUUUGUCGCAGGAAUAAAGAUGGCUGCUGAACCAGUAGAAGACAAUUGCAUCAACUUUGUGGCAAUGAAAUUUAUUGACAAUACGCUUUACUUUAUAGGAUAAAACCCAGGAGGUAGAAUUGCUGGGUUGAUAGAAGAGAAAGGAUGAUUGGCAAAUUAAAGCUUCAGUAGAGGAAAACCUGGAAUCAGAUUACUUUGGCAAGCUUGAAUCUAAAUUAUCAGUCAUAAGAAAUUUGAAUGACCAAGUUCUCUUCAUUGACCAAGGAAAUCGGCCUCUAUUUGAAGAUAUGACUGAUUCUGACUGUAGAGAUAAUGCACCCCGGACCAUAUUUAUUAUAAGUAUGUAUAAAGAUAGCCAGCCUAGAGGUAUGGCUGUAACUAUCUCUGUGAAGUGUGAGAAAAUUUCAACUCUCUCCUGUGAGAACAAAAUUAUUUCCUUUAAGGAAAUGAAUCCUCCUGAUAACAUCAAGGAUACAAAAAGUGACAUCAUAUUCUUUCAGAGAAGUGUCCCAGGACAUGAUAAUAAGAUGCAAUUUGAAUCUUCAUCAUACGAAGGAUACUUUCUAGCUUGUGAAAAA